Molecule: long non-coding RNA, 217 nt
Filed under: Salvia miltiorrhiza (redroot sage)
Lineage: Eukaryota; Viridiplantae; Streptophyta; Magnoliopsida; Lamiales; Lamiaceae
Description: long non-coding RNA (SMIL_LNC000889)
Source: RNAcentral
CGGGCUCUCGCAGAGAAGUCAGAGGAAUGGACCUUAUCAGAGGAACGACCUACACCAGAGAAGCCGCUCUCGCCAGAGGAACGGUCUUCGCCAGAGGAAUCACCAGAAACGCGGGGAAAUCUCCCGCGUGAGGGCAAUUUUACUAUUAUGCCCUUGACCACGCAAGGCGCAUGCUCCAGCGAUGAAUUUACCAUUUUACCCUUUACGUGUAAUCUAU